Molecule: ribosomal RNA, 253 nt
Filed under: uncultured bacterium
Lineage: Bacteria
Description: partial 16S ribosomal RNA
Rfam family: Bacterial small subunit ribosomal RNA
Source: RNAcentral
UACGAAGGGGGCUAGCGUUGUUCGGAAUUACUGGGCGUAAAGGGCGCGUAGGCGGUGUGUCAAGUCAGGUGUGAAAGCCCCCGGCUCAACCGGGGAACUGCGCUUGAAACCGAGUGGCUCGAGUCAGCUAGAGGUACACGGAACUUCCAGUGGAGCGGUGAAAUGUGUUGAUAUUGGAAGGAACACCGGAGGCGAAAGCGGUGUACUGGGGCUGGUCUGACGCUGAGGCACGAAAGCCAGGGGAGCGAACGGG